UACGUAGGGUGCAAGCGUUAAUCGGAAUUACUGGGCGUAAAGCGUGCGCAGGCGGUUUUGUAAGUCUGUCGUGAAAUCCCCGGGCUCAACCUGGGAAUUGCGAUGGAGACUGCAAGGCUAGAAUCUGGCAGAGGGGGUAGAAUUCCACGUGUGAGCAGUGAAAUGCGUAGAGAUGUGGAGGAACACCGAUGGCGAAGGCAGCCCCCUGGGUCAAGAUUGACGCUCAUGCACGAAAGCGUGGGGAGCAAACAGG
This 253-nucleotide ribosomal RNA is filed under the name uncultured bacterium. Its description in RNAcentral is "partial 16S ribosomal RNA". It matches the Rfam family "Bacterial small subunit ribosomal RNA", at positions 524 to 776 of the family's 1533-position model. The record is from RNAcentral.